Molecule: long non-coding RNA, 1503 nt
Filed under: Parus major (Great Tit)
Lineage: Eukaryota; Metazoa; Chordata; Aves; Passeriformes; Paridae
Description: lncRNA (ENSPMJG00000012327.1)
Source: RNAcentral
CUGACAUCGCCCCGCAGCACCCAGGGCCGCUCCAUGCCCAGGCUGACAUCCCCCGGCAAUACCGGGGACACCCAGGGCCGGUCCGUGCCCAGGCUGACAUCACCCCGCAGCUCCCAGGGCCGGUCCCUGCACCGACUGAUAAUGCCCCGUAGCACCGAGGGCACCCAGGGCCGGUCCGUGUCCCGGCUGACAUCCCCCGGCAAUACCGGGGACACCCAGGGCCGGUCCGUGUCCCGGCUGACAUCGUCCAGCAGCUCCAAGGGCCGGUCCCGGUCCCAGCUGACAUCGCCCCGCAGCACCGAGGGCCGGUCCGUGCCCAGGCUGACAUCACCUGGUAACUCCAAGGGCCGGUCCCGGUCCCGGCUGACAUCGCCCCGCAGUACCAGGGACACUGAGGGCCGGUCCCGGUCCCGGCUGACAUCGCCCAGCAGCACCAAGGGUCCAUCCGUGUCCCGGCUGACAUCACCCGGCAGCUCCAAGGGCCGGUCCCGGCUGACAUUGCCCGGCAAUACCGGGGACACCGAGGACCAGUCCCAGUCCCAGCUAACAUCGUCCAGCAGCUCCAAGGACCAGUCCAUGCCCAGGCUGACAUCGUCCAGCAGCUCCAAGGGCCGGUCCCGGUACCGGCUGACCUUGCCCCGCAGUACCGGGGACACCGAGGACCCAUCUGUGUCCCAGCUGACAUCGUCCCGCAGCUCCAAGGGCCGGUCCCGGUCCCGGCUGACCUUGCCCCGCAGUACCGAGGGUUGGUCCCGGUCCCGGCUGACCUUGCCCCGCAGUACCGGGGACACCGAGGACCCGUUCAUGUCCCAGCUGCCAUCGCCCCGCAGCUCCCUGGGCUCGGGGGGCACCGAGAGCCGUCCCAGCCUGGACAAGGGGGAACAAGGCCCGCGGGGGCGCAGGUCCCACCCUGCCGGCUCCUCGCAGCCGCCCGUCCUGGCCCAGCCCCUGAGGAGCCGCCGGGCCUGCAGCGGCCCGGUGGGGCCGGAACCGGCCUCGGUGAGGAAAACAUCCCCUGACCCACAGAGAGAGGCCUCUCACCGUGCCGAGCAGGAAACCCAGACUGCGGCCUGGGCCCAAGAGGAUUCAGCUGUUCAAUACACUGAGCAGAUGACACAGACAGAUCUUGUGGCAGAACAGGAGAAAAACUCAGCUGCUCCCCUCAUGGUUGACCAGAAGACACAGACUGAGACUCCAAGACAAGUGAAUUCAGCUUCUCCUCAAACCAACAAGAGGACACAGAGCAAGGCGCACGGCUCUGCCCGCUCCACAGGCACAGGUGCCCCGGCUCAGCAGCAGCAGCCGCCCUCACAGCUGUGCAGGGCGUUCUGGCGCUCCUGCACAUCUGGACAGCCUCCUGCUGCCAGCACCCUGCAGGGGCCCGGGGACAGCCGCUGCUCCAGGCAGCCAAAACGUCCUGAGCGCGGCACGCCAGAGAAGUGGGGAUGGAUGACACUGCCGCCCUACUCCUGGCCAUGGCUCAUUGAGAUGAAUCAGUUUUAA